GACAGCCCAAACCGGUUUUAUCUUUAGUCUAAAUCUCGGCGACUUCAACUUCUAGCCUUUCCUAAGCAACCUUUGCAGACACAUCAUAUUGAAAGACCAUUCAAUGGAAACUGCUCUGACAGGAAACAGUGUGGUGUUUGAUAAUAGCAAACACUGCAGCCGAUAAUCAGGGGGCAUCAUAACAAACUGCAGCAAGGAGUGCAACAGGACACUUGCUACCUUGGACCCAGUGUGUGUGUGGCGUCAGAAAGCCGAGGUGAAGACACUCAGUGGGGAUGGGAGGAGGAGAAGUGAGGCUGGGGUGUCGUCGUCCCCCCCUUAAUUUGGAAACCAGCCAUUGCCAUGCAUGUUAUGACCCACUGUACACACCAACGAGCCAGGGUGGAAGAGAGCAACGGCAGAGAAAGCUGGAAAGAUUGAGAUGUGGCUCAGACCGCCUCAUUCCAGCCAGUGUGGAAAUAACAGAGGAAGAAAGGAGGUCACUGGUAUCUCAACCGAAGCACUGAAUAAGAAUGGUAUUGCUUCUUUUAAAUGCUGUACAUGGUUUGUAAUGACUGCUGUUUUCAAACCCAGUAAUAGGAUCCCAUGUGGUACCUGUUCCACAGGCCUAUAGGUUUCCAUGCAACAAAUGUAAUUAUCAGCACACAUAAAGAAUACAGCUGCUUUUUAAAGGUUCCCUUUCUCCCGUCUGUAUGUACUCCUUUUAGAUACUUUUUAGGUUACAUAGCUUUCACUAUUAUGCUGAUGAUGCACAGAUCUACCAUAUUAUUAACUGCAGUGACCGCAUCUUAAAUUGAUAGUUAAGGGAUUACUUACUCCUUAAAUUGUACUUCAUUUGUUUAUGAAUGAUGGUGUUUUAAGGGGCUUGGGUUUUUGCCCAUUCAAAUUAAUGUACAAAUUAAAGGAUCUCUGGCUACCAUGCUAAACAACGUAAUUCAAGGUUAUUGAAUUCAUGUGCCUGUUUUUGCUUGCCUGAUUCGUGUGCCUUGUCUUACUGCCUGCCUGUUACCGUCUAUGCCUAAUCUAAGUAAAAAGCUUUUUGA
Long non-coding RNA from Seriola aureovittata, 1043 nucleotides. RefSeq lists it as uncharacterized. The record is from RefSeq and is a predicted model, not a curated record. NCBI's taxonomy places the organism in Eukaryota, Metazoa, Chordata, Actinopteri, Carangiformes, Carangidae. The transcript has 4 exons.